RNAcentral lists this ribosomal RNA (479 nucleotides) under Enterococcus casseliflavus. RNAcentral's name for it is "bacterial SSU rRNA". It matches the Rfam family "Bacterial small subunit ribosomal RNA", at positions 15 to 472 of the family's 1533-position model. Lineage: Bacteria; Bacillati; Bacillota; Bacilli; Lactobacillales; Enterococcaceae. The record is from RNAcentral.
GAUCCUGGCUCAGGACGAACGCUGGCGGCGUGCCUAAUACAUGCAAGUCGAACGCUUUUUCUUUCACCGGAGCUUGCUCCACCGAAAGAAAAAGAGUGGCGAACGGGUGAGUAACACGUGGGUAACCUGCCCAUCAGAAGGGGAUAACACUUGGAAACAGGUGCUAAUACCGUAUAACACUAUUUUCCGCAUGGAAGAAAGUUGAAAGGCGCUUUUGCGUCACUGAUGGAUGGACCCGCGGUGCAUUAGCUAGUUGGUGAGGUAACGGCUCACCAAGGCAACGAUGCAUAGCCGACCUGAGAGGGUGAUCGGCCACACUGGGACUGAGACACGGCCCAGACUCCUACGGGAGGCAGCAGUAGGGAAUCUUCGGCAAUGGACGAAAGUCUGACCGAGCAACGCCGCGUGAGUGAAGAAGGUUUUCGGAUCGUAAAACUCUGUUGUUAGAGAAGAACAAGCACAAGAGUAAAAUGUUCAUC